Molecule: long non-coding RNA, 617 nt
Organism: Mustela lutreola (European mink)
Lineage: Eukaryota; Metazoa; Chordata; Mammalia; Carnivora; Mustelidae
Exons: 2
Source: RefSeq, a predicted model, not a curated record
AAACCGGUUGUGAAACAGAAUGAAGGAACUAGAGUAGCAGGGGACAGUCCCUAGACAGCUUACCUUUCCACAGACUUGUCUUGCUCUACUGCCUCCAGCCCCGCCCUCCCUUCUGCUGACCCUGACCAUAGAAAUUAGAGCUGAGUUCCUUGAGUGCAUCACAUCAAAGGCAGCAUGAAGACAGGUGCAGUCCUUGUUCUGAUGGCUUUCGUCUCCGUGGGAGUGGAGCUGACCUGCGCUUGGAGACCUCCCUUCAGAGGGCAAGAAAGAGCCAGUGUCUGCCCAGAGGUGCCCGAAGGAGUCUUUGGGAUUUGCGCUGAAAUGUGCUCGGGAGAUCAGUCGUGUCCCAGGGGGAUGAAAUGCUGCAGCAAUGGAUGCGGUCACGUCUGCAAGUAUCCUGUCCCUUAACAUUCGUUAAGCAUGCCUGGAUCCCAGCACCAGGAGAUUUCUCGUGAAUCCACGAAUCUGAUGCUUGGCACUAAGAGGACUCUCCCAGAGUCCAUUCCUGGCUAACACCCAUCCCUGGGAUUUUAGCCCUGGAAGUAGAAUAUCUAAAGUGGUGGAGGGACUGCUUUCUAAAGAGCUUGUGUCCAAAAUAAACUGUACCUGUGGCAUUA